CUGAGAAAGCUUCAAAGCAGCUCAAUAGUAAAAGAUAGCAGAGUUAAGCAACAGAAGUUUAGUAGCAAUUUUAUAAUACAGUUCAGUGAUUCUGGAGGCAAGGUAUCCAGACCAGUUCAAGGUAUGUGCUGCAGGAUGAAAGUUAUCUGGUACACUGACCAUGAUAGGUUAAACCCAAGACUGAACCUGAAUGGACAGCACAUCCUUGUUAAACCAGCAUGCAAUUUGGUAAUUAGGCUAUCCUAAACUACAAGAUGACACAAUUAUGUAUUAUUAUUCUCUCAACAAAAAUUGGAUUUUUUUUAACAACCAUCUUGUAUUUAAAGUGCAGGAUUUAUGUACAAAAUUACAGUUACAUUGGCCUCGGCAACCAGUCAGAGAACAAACUUGAGAGAACAGUAAAGAAACCAUGAGACUUGACAAUGAACAAACAGAGAACACAUGGGAGGAGAAGCACUGGAUCCUGUAUUAGCACCAGUAUCGGAUCCACAUCGCACACAAAGAUGCAGUACAGAUGUUUCCAAACAUAGGGACAGAUCACCUACUCUGGACAUACAUGUGGCUGUUAGUGGUAUAUUGACCUGGCUGUCCAUAGAGCCCCUCCGAUUCCCGCAUUUCAUCAUUCAUCUUCGCCAGCCGUAACCUGCCAGAUAAAGAACAGUGUAACCUGACACGCCCGAUGUCCUUGUUGCUGCAGAGUGGCCCAUACUAAAAGCGGCAUGUCCUUGCUGAGUGUUACCUGAG
Molecule: long non-coding RNA, 744 nt
Organism: Polyodon spathula (Mississippi paddlefish)
Lineage: Eukaryota; Metazoa; Chordata; Actinopteri; Acipenseriformes; Polyodontidae
Exons: 3
Source: RefSeq, a predicted model, not a curated record